RNAcentral lists this long non-coding RNA (620 nucleotides) under Coturnix japonica (Japanese quail). RNAcentral describes it as "lncRNA (ENSCJPG00005018877.1)". Lineage: Eukaryota; Metazoa; Chordata; Aves; Galliformes; Phasianidae. The record is from RNAcentral.
CACGGACUGUAACAAAGCACUGAUUUUUACUAACUCCUUAUCUUCUGCUUGUACAAAUAGGUGCUAUGAGUAAGGAGAUGCUUUUAACCUUUCAGAGCUCUAUCCUGCAGGUGAAUCCUUUAAGACUCAAGUGCCUGAUGUUUUAGGUACCAGCUGUCAGACAGCAACCCAGAGAUGCUUGUCACUUUUUAUGGAUGCACAGCUGCAUGAUGACACUGUGCUACACAACCAUACCAGGUUUUGCAGAUGAUCAUCUGGAUAUGGAAUCGCUUUAUGAAGGCACGAACCUGUACUAUGUGUAAAGCUGCAAGUUAUUUUGCUCUUUGGAUAGUAAUUUACUAGUACUGCUAUGUGGGAAAACAGGAAGAGGAUGACAAAGACAGGGCUUGCAAGGAGCUCAUCUUUGAUGCAUUACACUCAGUCUGCAAGUCAGAAACUUUCCAUUGGGAGCUACUGGAUAACCCUCAUGCUGUGCAGUGGUCAAGGUGAAACUUCAUGAAAGGUGCUGGUGCACACAGUGGGACUUCUGACCAACAAGAGUCAGCAGCUGCAAGCACAGGCAAAGGUCUCUAGCUGGCAGCCAUUACAUAAAUAAAUAUGGCACUGAAGUUUCUCCUCCA